CUUGGUCAAGGACGCCAGCUUGCUUUCGUCAACCAGAAGCUCAAGGUAGUAGAUCAUCAUCCUCAAAACGAUGAGCACUGGUUAUACAUCACUUACUGGGUCAAGGACACCAGCUUGCUUUCGUCAACCAGCAGCUCAAGGUAGUAGAUCAUCAUCCUCAAAACAGUGAACACUGGUUAUACAUCACUUACUGGGUCAAGGACACCAGCUUGCUUUCGUCAACCAGCAGCUCAAGGUAGUAGAUCAUCAUCCUCAAAACGAUGACCACUGGUUAUACAUCACGUACCAAGUCAAGGACACCAGCUUGCUUUCAUCAGCCAUCAGCUCAAGGUAGUAGAUCAUCAUCCUCAAAACAUAGACCACUGGUUAUACAUCACUUACUUGGUCAAGGACGCCAGCUUGCUUUCGUCAACCAGAAGCUCAAGGUAGUAGAUCAUCAUCCUCAAAACGAUGAGCACUGGUUAUACAUCACUUACUGGGUCAAGGACACCAGCUUGCUUUCGUCAACCAGCAGCUCAAGGUAGUAGAUCAUCAUCCUCAAAACAGUGAACACUGGUUAUACAUCACUUACUGGGUCAAGGACACCAGCUUGCUUUCGUCAACCAGCAGCUCAAGGUAGUAGAUCAUCAUCCUCAAAACGAUGACCACUGGUUAUACAUCACGUACCAAGUCAAGGACAGCAGCUUGCUUUCAUCAGCCAUCAGCUCAAGGUAGUAGAUCAUCAUCCUCAAAACGAUGAGCACUGGUUAUACAUCACUUACUGGGUCAAGGACACCAGCUUGCUUUCGUCAACCAGCAGCUCAAGGUAGUAGAUCAUCAUCCUCAAAACGAUGACCACUGGUUAUACAUCACGUACCAAGUCAAGGACACCAGCUUGCUUUCAUCAGCCAUCAGCUCAAGGUAGUAGAUCAUCAUCUUCAAAACAUAGACCACUGGUUAUACAUCACUUACUCGGUCAAGGACGCCAGCUUGCUUUCGUCAACCAGCAGCUCAAGGUAGUAGAUCAUCAUCCUCAAAACGAUGACCACUGGUUAUACAUCGCGUACCAAGUCAAGGACACCAGCUUGCUUUCAUCAGCCAUCAGCUCAAGGUAGUAGAUCAUCAUCCUCAAAACAAUGACCACUGGUUAUACAUCACUUACUGGGUCAAGGACACCAGCUUGCUUUCGUCAACCAGCAGCUCAAGGUAGAAGAUCAUCAUCCUCAAAACAUAGACCACUGGUUAUACAUCAUUUACUCGGUCAAGGAAGCCAGCUUGCUUUCGUCAACCAGCAGCUCAAGGUGGCAGACCAUCGCCCUCAAAACAGUGACCAGUCGUUAUACAUCACUUACCUUUGGACAGUGCUGAUCAGAGAUUUUGUUCACCAAGUCAGCAACAUUCUUCUGAAAUCAGUUUUUCACAUUUGCAUUGAAUCCCCUCCCCCUCCAAAGCACACAAAUUCUACAUAUUUUCAUGAAGCACAUUUUUAAAAAAUGCAUUUCUUAUUAACCAAGGUAGUCAACUUCCCCAGAGUCAAGACUUUGGAGAUUUGCACAAUACUUUGCCAAUUACAGCUCAUGUCUAAAGCAUAGCUGUUUGAGGUUUCAUUUCAGCUUUCAGAAUUGUUGACCAUUCCUACAUGUGGAAUUACUCAAAUUGUUUUAUUCAGGGUAUUCGUGGACAGCAAUUUUACAGGCAUAUCAGUUUUAAUUGGAUUCAGGUCUAGGCGGGACAUUCCAGACAUCGUCUUGUCUUUAAGCUGUUCGGUUGUAGUUUUUGCAAUGAUACAAGGCUGUCCUCAAGCCAGUAAGCUCUAAAAUAGUUGGUUCUGUCACUGCACUCCAGUCCCUACUGAUAUUUGCCCCUUUCUUCCACUUUGCUUAGUUUGGUAGAACAGCCUGAUCUGUUACUGCCUGGACUGUGCCAUAUUUCUCCCUUGCUCCUCCUGCACUAACAGUUUGUAAUAGUGGACUAAAGCAUGCUUCUAGCAAGCUUCAAGGCUUUCUAAAAUAACCUUAACUAGCUUUUUUUGCCUAACAUAUUUUCAACUUUCCCAAUGCCAUUCUUUAAUCUUCAUGGAGGUAUGCCUGGUCUGAUCUGCUCUUUCAGUUGGGAGGGCACAAAGUCGGUGAUAUUUAUUUUGCAAUGACACCAUUGGGCACAGGUGGAUUCAAAACAAUCACAGGUGGCCUUCGUUAAAGUAUUUCAUGUCAUCUCUUAAAUAAUGAGCUACACCUGACCUAAUUUAGGUAGUUAAUUACAAUGGGGUAAAUAUCAUUUUUGGGCUUUUCCUUUUAAUUUCAUCCAUUUUAUGUUGACCCAAGUAACUGAGUAGAGAAAAUCAUUUGCAUAUAUACCAAUUGGACUUUGCAGCACAGCAAAAUGAGAACUAAUCAAUUUAGCUAAUUAUCUCAAAAUUGACCUAUCCUGUCAAAAUCUCCCUUGUAACUUGGGGUGCCUCCCCCUUAACGUUUAAUGAGGGAUGGUUUAUUCUCUUACAGCCAAAU
Molecule: long non-coding RNA, 2486 nt
Organism: Anguilla anguilla (European eel)
Lineage: Eukaryota; Metazoa; Chordata; Actinopteri; Anguilliformes; Anguillidae
Exons: 15
Source: RefSeq, a predicted model, not a curated record